AUUCUUUGUCUGUGGUUGCUAGGAUGCAGAACAAAAGGGCUGUGGCAGAGACUCUGUUCUUUAACAGUCCUCCCAAAAACCUUGCUCCAGCUCCUGGCUUCCCAGUCCAGUCCCAGGGUUUGCAGUACCCAGGUAUCCACGGGCGGAGCAGCUUGUUCUUCGCAGGCAGUAAAAUCACUGAGCAGGUUCCUCCUGGCUUUUGAGGGGUGAGGAGUCUCUCGAGGGGCCAGACACAUGUUUUCGUGGCAGGUUUGAACACAGUACCUUCGCCUUGUCUUCCAAACACUUAACCACGGCAGAAUUCAGAGCUGGGAGGACAGCUGAUCGCCUUGCCACGUGUCAUCUGGAAUAGUAAAAUCCAAGCCACAGAACUGGUCUGGACAAAAACAGACAUCAAAGUGAUUAAACCAAAAAUCACAUUUUCCAAACCAUGAGUAAAAUCACAAUCAUGUUUAUUUUAAUCC
Molecule: long non-coding RNA, 464 nt
Organism: Mauremys reevesii (Reeves's turtle)
Lineage: Eukaryota; Metazoa; Chordata; Testudines; Geoemydidae
Exons: 4
Source: RefSeq, a predicted model, not a curated record